UUCCACCUCAAUACACUACAAAAAAGUCUGGGAAGCUUGGUGCCUGGUGCCAGCACUGGGACAUUUUUAGCUUCAUCAUCGUUACCAUGACCACUAUGGUCAUUACCAUCAAUAUCAUCAUCACCUUCACCAGUAUCAUCACCUUUGCCCUCAGUCACCACCAUCAUGACCCUGCCACCAGAGGGGCAACCGAAGCAGAGCAAAAAAUUGUCACUGAGUUUGGAGUCAGAGAUCAGGAAGGCUGAGUCACCUUGAAUUUAUGGGGAAGACGACUUGAGCUACGAUGAAAAAAAUGAAUACAAGUCCAGAAAUAUGAAUACCAGUCCCUUUGUGUUUCCAUGAAACUAGGUAAGAAGAAAAAUGUUAAAACCAACCAGAUAAUAAAGACAAAUUUCACAAAGAGGAC
Molecule: long non-coding RNA, 406 nt
Filed under: Equus caballus (horse)
Lineage: Eukaryota; Metazoa; Chordata; Mammalia; Perissodactyla; Equidae
Description: lncRNA (ENSECAG00000059039.1)
Source: RNAcentral